This 307-nucleotide unclassified non-coding RNA is filed under the name plant metagenome. RNAcentral describes it as "partial contains 5.8S ribosomal RNA, internal transcribed spacer 2, and large subunit ribosomal RNA". The stretch from base 1 to 105 matches the Rfam family "5.8S ribosomal RNA", at positions 50 to 154 of the family's 154-position model. The record is from RNAcentral.
GAACUGCGAUAAGUAAUGUGAAUUGCAGAAUUCAGUGAAUCAUCGAGUCUUUGAACGCACAUUGCGCCCGCCAGCACUCUGGCGGGCAUGCCUGUUCGAGCGUCAUUUCAACCCUCAGAACCCCUUGCGGGAUCUGGCGUUGGGGAUUGGCAUCCAGCCAGCCCCGAAAUCUAGUGGCGGUCCCUCCGCGACCUCCCCUGUGCAGUAGCGAUACCUCGCAGCGGGACAGCGGUCUGACCACGCCGUAAAACCCCCAACUUCUCAAGGUUGACCUCGAAUCAGGUAGGAAUACCCGCUGAACUUAAGC